GGGAUUGCCCUAGUAACGGCGAGUGAAGCGGCAAUAGCUCAAAUUUGAAAUCUGGCUCCUUUUAGGGGUCCGUGUUGUAAUUUGCAGAGGGUGCUUUGGCGUCGGUAGCGGUCUAAGUUCCUUGGAACAGGACAUCGCAGAGGGUGAGAAUCCCGUUUGUGGUCGCAUGCCUUCGCCGUGUAAAGCCCCUUCGACGAGUCGAGUUGUUUGGGAAUGCAGCUCUAAAUGGGAGGUAAAUUUCUUCUAAAGCUAAAUACUGGCCAGAGACCGAUAGCGCACAAGUAGAGUGAUCGAAAGAUGAAAAGCACUUUGGAAAGAGAGUCAAACAGCACGUGAAAUUGUUAAAAGGGAAGCGCUUGCAGCCAGACUUGCCCGUAGUUGCUCACCUAGGCUUUUGCCUGGGGCAUUCUUCUGCGGGCAGGCCAGCAUCAGUUUGGGCGGUCGGAUAAAGGUUCCUGUCAUGUAACUCCCUUCGGGGAGAACUUAUAGGGGGGACGAAAUGCGACCAGCCCGGACUGAGGUCCGCGCUUCGGCUAGGAUGCUGGCGUAAUGGCUGUAAGCGGCCCGUCUUGAAACACGGACCAAGGAGUCUAACAUCUAUGCGAGUGUUUGGGUGUCAAGCCCGAGCGCGUAAUGAAAGUGAACGGAGGUGGGAACCCUUUGGGUGCACCAUCGACCGAUCCUGAUGUCUUCGGAUGGAUUUGAGUAAGAGCAUAGCUGUUGGGACCCGAAAGAUGGUGAACUAUGCUUGAAUAGGGUGAAGCCAGAGGAAACUCUGGUGGAGGCUCGCAGCGGUUCUGACGUGCAAAUCGAUCGUCAAAUUUGGGCAUAGGGGCG
This 837-nucleotide ribosomal RNA is filed under the name Stagonospora pseudocaricis. RNAcentral's name for it is "eukaryotic LSU rRNA". It matches the Rfam family "Eukaryotic large subunit ribosomal RNA", at positions 71 to 925 of the family's 3401-position model. Lineage: Eukaryota; Fungi; Ascomycota; Dothideomycetes; Pleosporales; Massarinaceae. The record is from RNAcentral.